GGGAGCUGGCCUGGAGGGGGUAGAUAGCGGUCCUGGACUGAAUCGGCCUUAUGAACCCGCGCUUUCCCCAGCCUCCAGCGUAGCAUACUGACACCUACCCCCACCCCCACCUGAUCGCCAGACCUCAGGGUUUUCCGGAGCUGAAGAAUGACACAUUCCUGCGAGCAGCCUGGGGAGAGGAAACAGACUACACUCCCGUUUGGUGCAUGCGCCAGGCAGGCCGUUACUUACCAGAGUUUAGGGAAACCCGGGCUGCCCAGGACUUUUUCAGCACGUGUCGCUCUCCUGAGGCCUGCUGUGAACUGACUCUGCAGGUGAGGGGUCCACAAAAGAGGGAAAGAUUUAUGCCUUCAGUCUGCCACCUAGCAACCUGUCUCCUGUUUCCUACAGCCACUGCGUCGAUUCCCUCUGGAUGCUGCCAUCAUUUUCUCCGACAUCCUUGUUGUACCCCAGAUGUUUUCUCCCCCUCCAGGCACUGGGCAUGGAGGUGACCAUGGUACCUGGCAAAGGACCCAGCUUCCCAGAGCCAUUAAGAGAAGAGCAGGACCUAGAACGCCUACGGGAUCCAGAAGUGGUAGCCUCUGAGCUAGGCUAUGUGUUCCAAGCCAUCACCCUUACCCGACAACGACUGGCUGGACGUGUGCCGCUGAUUGGCUUUGCUGGUGCCCCAUGGACCCUGAUGACAUACAUGGUUGAGGGUGGUGGCUCAAGCACCAUGGCUCAGGCCAAGCGCUGGCUCUAUCAGAGACCUCAGGCUAGUCACCAGCUGCUUCGCAUCCUCACCGAUGCUCUGGUCCCAUAUCUGGUAGGACAAGUGGCGGCUGGUGCCCAGGCAUUGCAGCUGUUUGAGUCCCAUGCAGGGCAUCUUGGCCCACAGCUCUUCAACAAGUUUGCACUGCCUUACAUCCGUGAUGUGGCCAAGCAAGUGAAGGCCAGGUUGCGGGAGGCAGGCCUGGCACCAGUGCCCAUGAUCAUCUUUGCUAAGGAUGGGCAUUUUGCCCUGGAGGAGCUGGCCCAAGCUGGCUAUGAGGUGGUUGGGCUUGA
This 1044-nucleotide small RNA is filed under the name Pan troglodytes (chimpanzee). RNAcentral describes it as "processed transcript". The record is from RNAcentral. Lineage: Eukaryota; Metazoa; Chordata; Mammalia; Primates; Hominidae.